This is a long non-coding RNA of Sarcophilus harrisii (Tasmanian devil), 299 nucleotides long. RefSeq lists it as uncharacterized. The record is from RefSeq and is a predicted model, not a curated record. The transcript has 2 exons. NCBI's taxonomy places the organism in Eukaryota, Metazoa, Chordata, Mammalia, Dasyuromorphia, Dasyuridae.
UAGGAGGUGGGAAACACAAAGGACCCCUGUUGCCUGGCCAUUGCCUAAUGUUGUAGAGAUAAGUGAAAUAAAUACAAAGCAUAAACCUAGAUUAAAGUUACUUGGAGUGGACAGGAAGAAGGGGUAUUAGGAACAGAAAACAUGAGAACUAAAUGUUCAGAGAAAAAGCAACUUGAAGAUCUUUGGCAAGGCCAACCAAAAAACAGAAUCUGACCUCCUUCGGACACCUGAAGUCAACAACAGACCAGAAUAUUAGGAAAUCUAUUUCCCUCUUGAAAUACAACAAACUAUCUCCAAGA